GAUGAAGAACGUAGCGAAAUGCGAUACGUAAUGUGAAUUGCAGAAUUCAGUGAAUCAUCGAAUCUUUGAACGCAUGUUGCGCUCUCUGGUAUUCCGGAGAGCAUGCUUGUUUGAGUAUCAGUAAACACCUCAACUUCCAUAUCUUUUUUUGAAAUGGGAGUUGGACUUGAGUGAUCCCAACGCUUUUCCUCACCGAAAAGUGGCGGGUUACUUGAAAUGCAGGUGCAGCUGGACUUUUCUCUGAGCUAUAAGCAUAUCUAUUUAGUCUGCCUAAAAAACAGAUUAUUACCUUUGCUGCAGCUAACAUAAAGGAGAUUAGUUCUUGUGCUGACUGAUGCAGGAUUCACAAAGACAGCUUCGGCCGACUUUGUAAACUCGAUCUCAAAUCAAGUAAGACUACCCGCUGAACUUAAGCAUAUCAAUAAGCGGAGGA
RNAcentral lists this unclassified non-coding RNA (433 nucleotides) under soil metagenome. RNAcentral describes it as "partial contains 5.8S ribosomal RNA, internal transcribed spacer 2, and large subunit ribosomal RNA". The stretch from base 1 to 120 matches the Rfam family "5.8S ribosomal RNA", at positions 35 to 154 of the family's 154-position model. The record is from RNAcentral.